Molecule: long non-coding RNA, 497 nt
Organism: Rhincodon typus (whale shark)
Lineage: Eukaryota; Metazoa; Chordata; Chondrichthyes; Orectolobiformes; Rhincodontidae
Exons: 2
Source: RefSeq, a predicted model, not a curated record
UCCACUUUAUAAAUAGGCAGACGGAAGGGAACGUUCCUAUUACGCACACGCGCGGAUUACGUAAAGGAGCGUGUUCAAAAUCAGGAGACGUCUGAUGACGCAGGCACGCAGCCUGCACGAGGUUAGUUCCGGCCUUCGUUCCAAAAACAGAGUUUAGAUCUUCAUUCUGGGAAUUACAUUUUUACAUAAAUGUUUACAUUAUGCAAACUUUACUCCUGAUUUUAAAAAUCCACCCCAUAUUAAAAAAAACUGUAUUUUCCCCACUGAACGGCCUAAAGGAGAAAUAAUCUCUUUACAAAAUGUGCUGUACAUCAGGCUAAAAACUGCACACGUGUGUGUAUAAAACUGCGGCAGAUUUUUGUGAUGAACCCCAGUAAGAAGCAUUGUAUUUCUGAACCCACUACUUAUGCGGACUUGUUCUAGUGAUCUGUUUGCAGCAGUGAUCUGUUUGCAGCACUUCUGAAUAAUAAAUCCGCAAAUAAACUGUUGAAAAAAUA